RNAcentral lists this ribosomal RNA (331 nucleotides) under Protodrilus sp. 14 MDD-2014. RNAcentral describes it as "partial 16S ribosomal RNA". It matches the Rfam family "Bacterial large subunit ribosomal RNA", at positions 1950 to 2524 of the family's 2925-position model. Lineage: Eukaryota; Metazoa; Annelida; Polychaeta; Protodrilidae. The record is from RNAcentral.
GCAAAGGUAGCAUAAUAAUUUGCCUCCUAAUUAGAGGCUAGAAUGAACGGACCUUCUUUGUCUAGCUGUCUCGAGCUUUCUAACGGAAAUUUAUAUUUAAGUGAAGAAACUUAAAUUAACCAGCAGGACCAAAAGACCCUAUAGAGCUUUAUAGAGAAAACAAACUUCAUAUGUCAACCUCUAUUUCAUUGGGGCGAUGAGAGAUAAAACCAACUCUUGUAUUAAAGAGCCACAACUCUAAUUUCUAUGCCUUUAGGAUAAAGAAAAAGCUACCUUAGGGAUAACAGUCUAAUUUUCUCCGAUAGCCCACAUCUAAGAGAAAGAUUGGCAC